GUGUCAGCAGCCGCGGUAAUACGAAGGGUGCGAGCGUUGUUCGGAAUUAUUGGGCGUAAAGGGUUCGUAGGCGGGAAUGUAAGUUGAGUGUGAAAACCCCGGGCUUAACCUGGGACGUGCACUCAAAACUGCGUUUCUUGAGUGUUGGAGAGGGUGGUGGAAUUGCUGGUGUAGGAGUGACAUCCGUAGAGAUCAGCAGGAACGCCAGAGGCGAAAGCGACCACCUGGCCAAACACUGACGCUGAGGAACGAAAGCGUGGGGAGCAAACAGGAUUAGAAACCCCCGUAGUCC
Molecule: ribosomal RNA, 292 nt
Filed under: uncultured bacterium
Lineage: Bacteria
Description: partial 16S ribosomal RNA
Rfam family: Bacterial small subunit ribosomal RNA
Source: RNAcentral